Molecule: unclassified non-coding RNA, 292 nt
Filed under: plant metagenome
Description: partial contains small subunit ribosomal RNA, internal transcribed spacer 1, and 5.8S ribosomal RNA
Source: RNAcentral
UUUCCGUAGGCGAACCUGCGGAAGGAUCAUUAUUGAAUAAACCUGAUGUGGUUGUAGCUGGCCCUUUCGGGAGCAUGUGCACACCCGUCGUCUUUAUCUUUCCACCUGUGCACCUUUUGUAGACCUGGAUGUAACACUUUCCGAGGCAACUCGGUCGGGAGGAAUGCUGUCAGCUUUCCUUGAAUGUCCAGGCCUAUGUUUUCAUAUACCCCAAAGAAUGUAACAGAAUGUAUUAUUGGGCCUUGUGCCUAUAAACUAUAUACAACUUUCAGCAACGGAUCUCUUGGCUCUC